ACAGAGGGUGCGAGCGUUGUCCGGAAUCACUGGGCGUAAAGGGCGCGUAGGUGGCUUGGUAAGCGUGUGGUGAAAGUCCGGGGCUCAACCCCGGAUCUGCCGUGCGAACUGCCGAGCUUGAGCAUUGUAGAGGCAGGUGGAAUUCCGGGUGUAGCGGUGGAAUGCGUAGAGAUCCGGAAGAACACCAGUGGCGAAGGCGGCCUGCUGGGCAAUUGCUGACACUGAGGCGCGACAGCGUGGGGAGCAAACAGGAUUAGAUACCCUGGUAGUCCACGCCGUAAACGAUGGGUACUAGGUGUCUGGGGGAGCGACCCCCUGGGUGCCGGCGCUAACGCAUGAAGUACCCCGCCUGGGGAGUACGACCGCAAGGUUG
RNAcentral lists this ribosomal RNA (373 nucleotides) under uncultured bacterium. Its description in RNAcentral is "bacterial SSU rRNA". It matches the Rfam family "Bacterial small subunit ribosomal RNA", at positions 525 to 896 of the family's 1533-position model. The record is from RNAcentral.